AACGAACGCUGGCGGCAUGCCUAACACAUGCAAGUCGAACGAGACCUUCGGGUCUAGUGGCGCACGGGUGCGUAACGCGUGGGAACCUGCCCUUAGGUUCGGAAUAACUCCCCGAAAGGGGUGCUAAUACCGGAUAAUGUCUUCGGACCAAAGAUUUAUCGCCUUUGGAUGGGCCCGCGUUGGAUUAGCUAGUUGGUAGGGUAAAAGCCUACCAAGGCGACGAUCCAUAGCUGGUCUGAGAGGAUGAUCAGCCACACUGGGACUGAGACACGGCCCAGACUCCUACGGGAGGCAGCAGUGGGGAAUAUUGGACAAUGGGCGAAAGCCUGAUCCAGCAAUGCCGCGUGAGUGAUGAAGGCCUUAGGGUUGUAAAGCUCUUUUACCCGGGAUGAUAAUGACGGUACCGGAAGAAUAAGCUCCGGCUAACUCCGUG
RNAcentral lists this ribosomal RNA (433 nucleotides) under uncultured bacterium. Its description in RNAcentral is "partial 16S ribosomal RNA". It matches the Rfam family "Bacterial small subunit ribosomal RNA", at positions 29 to 507 of the family's 1533-position model. The record is from RNAcentral.